AAUUCUUAUGCUACCGACAUGGAACACCUUGGCUACUUCAGGAAGCUAAGCAGGGUCAGGUGUGGUUAAUAUUUGGAUGGGAGACCACGAGGCCAUAGUAGGAAUUU
This 107-nucleotide ribosomal RNA is filed under the name Pogona vitticeps (central bearded dragon). Lineage: Eukaryota; Metazoa; Chordata; Lepidosauria; Squamata; Agamidae. The record is from RNAcentral.